GAUGGGCAUUGAGACAAGUGAACAGGCAGAUGGAAAACAGCAUGGUGAGUAAUACAGAUGGUGGGAAGAACAGGGUACUAUGGCAUCUGCUGUGGAAAGAAGAUAGAUCUAGGUGAUGGUUAAGUCUAAGACAAAGGAGGAGUAAAAUCAUCAAGGAAAGCAGGAGAGAGGGAAGGAAGUGGAAAGCAGACAAAAAAAAAAAAAAAACAACAGCAGCUGUAGAAGCCUGAGAAGAUGAGAGAGUCAAGUCCUUAGAGGGACUGAAAGCAGAGACAUAACGGCACAAAACGAGAUGGGAAAGUGACGGAGCAAUACAUGAGUCUGUAAUGAGUGGAAUUGAUGCCUUUGUUUUCAAAUGAGAUAUUUCUGGAGUGAUAAAUCUGGAUCUAUGGAUCUUACAUAAGGGAUUUAGGUGGGCAGCAGCACUUGGUUAUUUACAAGUUCAGGAUCCUGUUUAUAAAGCAAGGAAAGAUUGCUAUCUGUCUCCAGCACUAUGGCGAGAUAAUUAAUAGGAGCACUGCUGGAGACUGAUAGUGCAGGCGGCCGAUACCCAUGGCAGGAGCUCUCGUCAUCUAACUGCCACAGAAUUGUGAAGGCCCUUCUGGCGAAGCAUCUCUAAAGAAGACCAUUGACAGCCACUAUCAGUAGCAGCAGCAGU
Molecule: long non-coding RNA, 658 nt
Filed under: Homo sapiens (human)
Lineage: Eukaryota; Metazoa; Chordata; Mammalia; Primates; Hominidae
Description: HSALNT0085342
Source: RNAcentral